RNAcentral lists this long non-coding RNA (400 nucleotides) under Olea europaea (common olive). Its description in RNAcentral is "long non-coding RNA (OEUR_LNC005196)". Lineage: Eukaryota; Viridiplantae; Streptophyta; Magnoliopsida; Lamiales; Oleaceae. The record is from RNAcentral.
UGAAGACGGUUUCGUCGGAGGACCUCACACGCUCUACCACGCUCUGGGGAUAGACUCUACACGUGAGAUUACGCGUCGUUGUCGAUGCAGCCUCAUGUGCCGGUCCGGUGGCUUCACCUUGCCUUCUUGAGUUGGAAUAUGGCCUCUGUUUUAUCUGUUGAGGUUUGGUUUGAUCAGAAUCCUCAAUUACAGUCACUGUCGAUCGGAAAUUUCAACAGUUCUCUUCCUGUUCUGCACAGCUUUUACGGACUGAUUUUUCAACCAAUUUUGCACAGAUUCAACAAUGAUUUUUCACAACCUACGUGCUGAUACCAUUUUAAGCGAAAAUUACACCAAAAACUUGGAUUCUUAUGCACAAAUCGGGUUUAGUUUCAAUAUCAAAUCAAACAUCACAAUUGAU